RNAcentral lists this ribosomal RNA (497 nucleotides) under uncultured bacterium. RNAcentral's name for it is "partial 16S ribosomal RNA". It matches the Rfam family "Bacterial small subunit ribosomal RNA", at positions 28 to 507 of the family's 1533-position model. The record is from RNAcentral.
GAUGAACGCUGGCGGCGUGCCUAAUACAUGCAAGUCGAGCGAACGGACGAGAAGCUUGCUUCUCUGAUGUUAGCGGCGGACGGGUGAGUAACACGUGGAUAACCUACCUAUAAGACUGGGAUAACUUCGGGAAACCGGAGCUAAUACCGGAUAAUAUUUUGAACCGCAUGGUUCAAAAGUGAAAGACGGUCUUGCUGUCACUUAUAGAUGGAUCCGCGCUGCAUUAGCUAGUUGGUAAGGUAACGGCUUACCAAGGCAACGAUGCAUAGCCGACCUGAGAGGGUGAUCGGCCACACUGGAACUGAGACACGGUCCAGACUCCUACGGGAGGCAGCAGUAGGGAAUCUUCCGCAAUGGGCGAAAGCCUGACGGAGCAACGCCGCGUGAGUGAUGAAGGUCUUCGGAUCGUAAAACUCUGUUAGUAGGGAAGAACAUAUAUGUAAGUAACUGUGCACAUCUUGACGGUACCUAAUCAGAAAGCCACGGCUAACUACGUG